GAUCCUGGCUCAGGAUGAACGCUAGCUACAGGCUUAACACAUGCAAGUCGAGGGGAAUCGAUAUUGGAAGCUUGCUUCCGAUAGGCGUCGACCGGCGCACGGGUGAGUAACGCGUAUCCAACCUGCCCACCACUUGGGGAUAGCCUUGCGAAAGUAAGACUAAUACCCAAUGAUAUCUCUAGAAGACAUCUGAAAGAGAUUAAAGAUUUAUCGGUGAUGGAUGGGGAUGCGU
RNAcentral lists this ribosomal RNA (232 nucleotides) under uncultured bacterium. Its description in RNAcentral is "partial 16S ribosomal RNA". It matches the Rfam family "Bacterial small subunit ribosomal RNA", at positions 15 to 236 of the family's 1533-position model. The record is from RNAcentral.